Molecule: ribosomal RNA, 497 nt
Filed under: uncultured bacterium
Lineage: Bacteria
Description: partial 16S ribosomal RNA
Rfam family: Bacterial small subunit ribosomal RNA
Source: RNAcentral
AUUGAACGCUGGCGGCAUGCCUUACACAUGCAAGUCGAACGGUAACAGGUCUUCGGAUGCUGACGAGUGGCGAACGGGUGAGUAAUACAUCGGAACGUGCCUAGUAGUGGGGGAUAACUACUCGAAAGAGUGGCUAAUACCGCAUGAGAUCUACGGAUGAAAGCAGGGGAUCGCAAGACCUUGUGCUACUAGAGCGGCCGAUGGCAGAUUAGGUAGUUGGUGGGAUAAAAGCUUACCAAGCCGACGAUCUGUAGCUGGUCUGAGAGGACGAUCAGCCACACUGGGACUGAGACACGGCCCAGACUCCUACGGGAGGCAGCAGUGGGAAUUUUGGACAAUGGGCGAAAGCCUGAUCCAGCAAUGCCGCGUGCAGGAUGAAGGCCUUCGGGUUGUAAACUGCUUUUGUACGGAACGAAAAGCCCUGGGUUAAUACCCUGGGGUCAUGACGGUACUGUAAGAAUAAGCACCGGCUAACUACGUGCCAGCCGCCGCAGUAA